CUGCUGUGAGGAGCAAAUGAGAUCCUGGAUGUAAAGUGCUAUGUAAAUGAUGAUGAUGAUGAUGAUGACUAGAAUGAUAGAUCCACAGCACAGAUCCUGCUGAUGAUGUACAAUCACUUCAUUUUUCAGACUUAACUGCAUCCAUGGACUCAGGAUAUUGGUCGAUCAGAUUGUAAUUUCCUUGAGAGCAGGGUCUGUCUGCAUCUUUUUUGUAUCUUCAUGUUGAGCACAGUUGCUUGGCAUAUUGAAAACCCUUAGUAAAUGUUCAUUACUUGACUAAUUUAUUGACAGAAGGGCAGAAAGCCCGGGGGUCUUAUUGGUGCAACAUUAUCAUUUCUGGACAGUAUUGUGCAAGCAUUCUGACUUCUCCAGUUCAGGAGACAUUCCUCUUGUUCCUAUUUACAACCUUUGCUUUAUUGCUUUAGAGUUUGCUCCAGAGGGAUUGACUCUUAUUCAAAGGGAGGUAUUAGGUUCUGAUUCUGGUCAUUUUGAGUGCCUGAACCUACUGUUCCCAUCAUCCAUGCUACUUAGCCUCAUUCCAGUUUCUGACUUCCUACCUUAUACCGUGACCUCCUGCUUUGUAUCUUGCUUUUGAUCCCAGAGUCCUGCUUUAGAGAUGGCCAGCUCCAAUGUUCACUGUAACCCUGACACUUAACUGAGCCUACAGGUAGCUGAAUAGAGUCCAAGAAAGUGGGUCACAAGUCCAGGCCAGUGUAAAAUAUUUGUAAAAAUAUUUCCAGCAUAGGGGAAUUCCACAACUCCAUCAUUUUUAUUGCAAUUAUGCCAUAUAGAGUUCUGAGAAACCUAUCAAGAGUCUUAUCUGUAUUUUGCAGACGAAGAUGUCAAGACAAAGGGAUUUUGUCCAAGGUCAAACUUCCAGAGAUAGGUUUGGAGCUGUGCUGUUUAACCCACUUUGAAACAGAAUUUUAUCUUUAAAGUCAUUGAGAAUUUAGCCAACAAGCAAUGUUUGUCUUAUGCAAAUCAGUCAAUGUGGAGAAGAAGGGGAGCACUGGAAUGAGAAGCAGAAAACUUCAAUUCUGGUACAGAGCUGGGUUUGUGAUCUUGAAUGAGCAUCUUUAUCUCUCUGGGU
This 1090-nucleotide long non-coding RNA is filed under the name Sarcophilus harrisii (Tasmanian devil). Its description in RNAcentral is "lncRNA (ENSSHAG00000027882.1)". The record is from RNAcentral. Lineage: Eukaryota; Metazoa; Chordata; Mammalia; Dasyuromorphia; Dasyuridae.